This 508-nucleotide ribosomal RNA is filed under the name Listeria monocytogenes. RNAcentral's name for it is "bacterial SSU rRNA". It matches the Rfam family "Bacterial small subunit ribosomal RNA", at positions 1024 to 1533 of the family's 1533-position model. Lineage: Bacteria; Bacillati; Bacillota; Bacilli; Caryophanales; Listeriaceae. The record is from RNAcentral.
GGACAAAGUGACAGGUGGUGCAUGGUUGUCGUCAGCUCGUGUCGUGAGAUGUUGGGUUAAGUCCCGCAACGAGCGCAACCCUUGAUUUUAGUUGCCAGCAUUUAGUUGGGCACUCUAAAGUGACUGCCGGUGCAAGCCGGAGGAAGGUGGGGAUGACGUCAAAUCAUCAUGCCCCUUAUGACCUGGGCUACACACGUGCUACAAUGGAUAGUACAAAGGGUCGCGAAGCCGCGAGGUGGAGCUAAUCCCAUAAAACUAUUCUCAGUUCGGAUUGUAGGCUGCAACUCGCCUACAUGAAGCCGGAAUCGCUAGUAAUCGUGGAUCAGCAUGCCACGGUGAAUACGUUCCCGGGCCUUGUACACACCGCCCGUCACACCACGAGAGUUUGUAACACCCGAAGUCGGUAGGGUAACCUUUAUGGAGCCAGCCGCCGAAGGUGGGACAGAUAAUUGGGGUGAAGUCGUAACAAGGUAGCCGUAUCGGAAGGUGCGGCUGGAUCACCUCCUUU